CUGAGGUUAUCACCCUGUAUCCCACUCUGAAGUUAUCACCCUGUAUCCCACUGUGUUAACCCCACUCUGAGGUUAUCACCCUGUAUCCCACUGUGUUAACCCCACUCUGAGGUUAUCACCCUGUAUCCCACUGUUAACCCCACUCUGAGGUUAUCACCCUGUAUCCCACUCUGAGGUUAUCACCCUGUAUCCCACUCUGAGGUUAUCACCCUGUAUCCCACUCUGAGGUUAUCACCCUGUAUCCCACUCUGAGGUUAUCACCCUGUAUCCCACUCUGAGGUUAUCACCCUGUAUCCCACUGUUUUAACCAGCAGCAGACCACCCUGUACCCCACUGAGGUUAUCACCCUGUAUCCCACUGUGUUAACCAGCAGCAGACCACCCUGUAUCCCACUGUUUUAACCAGCAGCAGACCACCCUGUAUCCCACUGUGUUAACCAGCAGCAGACCACCCUGUACCCCACUGAGGUUAUCACCCUGUAUCCCACUGUUUUAACCAGCAGCAGAUCACCCUGUAUCCCACUGUUAACCCCACUCUGAGGUUAUCACCCUGUAUCCCACUGUUUUAACCAGCAGCAGACCACCCUGUAUCCCACUGUUAACC
This is a long non-coding RNA of Oncorhynchus keta (chum salmon), 603 nucleotides long. RefSeq lists it as uncharacterized. The transcript is spliced from 3 exons. The record is from RefSeq and is a predicted model, not a curated record. NCBI's taxonomy places the organism in Eukaryota, Metazoa, Chordata, Actinopteri, Salmoniformes, Salmonidae.